Molecule: ribosomal RNA, 333 nt
Filed under: uncultured bacterium
Lineage: Bacteria
Description: bacterial SSU rRNA
Rfam family: Bacterial small subunit ribosomal RNA
Source: RNAcentral
GACGAACGCUGGCGGCGUGCUUAACACAUGCAAGUCGAGCGGUAAGGCCCUUUCGGGGGUACGACGAGCGGCGAACGGGUGAGUAACACGUGGGUGACCUGCCCUCAGCUCUGGGAUAAGCCUGGGAAACCGGGUCUAAUACCGGAUAUGACUCCAUGACGCAUGUUGUGGGGUGGAAAGCCUUGUGCGGCUGAGGAUGGGCCCGCGGCCUAUCAGCUUGUUGGUGGGGUGAUGGCCUACCAAGGCGACGACGGGUAGCCGGCCUGAGAGGGCGACCGGCCACACUGGGACUGAGGCACGGCCCAGACUCCUACGGGAGGCAGCAGUGGGGAA